Molecule: unclassified non-coding RNA, 318 nt
Filed under: uncultured fungus
Lineage: Eukaryota; Fungi
Description: partial contains 5.8S ribosomal RNA, internal transcribed spacer 2, and large subunit ribosomal RNA
Source: RNAcentral
AACGCACCUUGCGCCUCUUGGCUAUUCCGAGGGGCAUGCCUGUUUGAGUAUCAUGAACACCUCAACUCUCAUGGUUUGCCCGUGAUGAGCUUGGACUUCUGGAGGUUUUGCUGGCCCUGCGGUCGGCUCCUCUCAAAUCGAUCAGCUUACCAGUGUUCGGUGGCGUCAUGGGUGUGAUAACUAAUCUACGCUUGUGGCCGUCUGCCGGGUAACCUUCAGCGAUGGAGGUUCGCUGGGGCUUACAAACGUCUCUCCUCAGCGAGGACAGCUUUUUGAACGUUCGAUCUCAAAUCAGGUAGGACUACCCGCUGAACUUAA